AACGAACGCUGGCGGCAUGCCUUACACAUGCAAGUCGAACGCGAAAGUGUCUUCGGACAUUAGUAGAGUGGCAAACGGGUGAGUAACGCGUGGGAAACUACCUUAUAGUACGGAAUAGCCUUGGGAAACUGGGAUUAAUACCGUAUAUUCCCUCAGGGGGAAAGAUUUAUCGCUAUAAGAUGUGCCCGCGUCAGAUUAGCUAGUUGGUGGGGUAAUAGCCUACCAAGGCAACGAUCUGUAGCUGGUCUGAGAGGACGAUCAGCCACACUGGGACUGAGACACGGCCCAGACGCCUACGGGAGGCAGCAGUGGGGAAUAUUGGACAAUGGACGCAAGUCCGAUCCAGCAAUGCCGCGUGAAUGAUGAAGGCCUUAGGGUUGUAAAGUUCUUUAAGUGGGGAAGAUAAUGACGGUACCCACAGAAUAAGCACCGGCUAACUUCGUGCCAGCAGCCGCCGUAA
RNAcentral lists this ribosomal RNA (460 nucleotides) under uncultured bacterium. RNAcentral's name for it is "partial 16S ribosomal RNA". It matches the Rfam family "Bacterial small subunit ribosomal RNA", at positions 29 to 523 of the family's 1533-position model. The record is from RNAcentral.